AGAGAGAGUGAGAGAGAAAGGAUUAGUGGCUGGACAGGGAAGGGGAAUGAGGCGGUGUAUUGAGGAUUGAUUGUCUCUUUCUCUCUCUUUUCCUUUUCCCAUUUCGUGAGGCCUCGAAGUGGCCGAUAGAGAACCUCCGUUAAAGGACCUGUGUCUUCUUCGUUCGUGGCCGUCGAAGACGAGGGCCAUCCUUUCAAUCCUUGCCUAACCCACCAAUCCUUUGCUAGACUCCAAACUCUAAGAAGAUGAUUUUGAAUGGAAGCUCCUUGGUCACUCCGAGUAUUUCUCCGAAGGUAUUCACCUCAAGGUCUUGUUUCUCGGGUUCAUAUGGUGGCAUUCCUCCUCUGCCUUCCUGUGUUUCAUAUCGAAGCAUUAGGAGUUCAUGGAAACCCUUUCAAGGGCUGACAUUGCAGUCUUCCAACAGGAAUACUCCUCUCCAGCAUCGUGCCGCUGCAUUAACACCACUCUUUAGUGGUAAUGAUUGUAGCUUUUUAUGUAGUACGACACCCACAGUUGGUAGGCGGAAGCUGCGACCUUUUCUGGCCCCACCAAGAUCUUCCAUCGAGAUGCCUUGGAGUAUUCGUUACCCUGCUUCCAAAGGGGAGAAGGUAAAGUGGUGGUGGAGAACUCUAGCAUGUCUCCCAUAUAUCAUAUCCCUCCGCGAUACAUGGAAGUAUUGGGAAGCAGCGUAUCGUCUCUACCCAUCCUUGGAGCAAUUCGAGUUCUUGACAUCCAGAUUUUACCAGGCUUUUGACAGAUUGCCAAGAUGGUUUGUCAUGGUAUAUUUUACCGUGGCAUAUCUUGGUGUGGUCAGGAGAAAGGAGCUUCCCCACUUCUUGAGGUUCAAUACGGUGUUGUCCAUGCUAUUGGAGAAUGCCAUUCAGAUUGCGGAGACGGCGAGCACUUUCCUUCCGUUUGCAAUUUUUGGGGGUAGGACAGGUUAUCAGCACUUUUGGAUUGGUCUUGGAGUUAUCUAUGUCUUGACGGUGUUGGUAUGCAUGGGGUCCUCCAUACUUGGGAUGUAUGUUGAAGUUCCGGGAGUGAGCGAGGCGGCCUUUAUCCAUACAAAGAUGUAGGAUACAAGGAUAGGGCUCUUUUGGUCAGGCUUUGCAUUUUCUUUCUUGGGGAGGUUAAUAGGUUAUUACAAAUGACGUUUUUCAGUUAGCACUGAAAGUUAAACUUUAUGAAGUUCAAAAUAUCAAGUUGGUGUCAGUGGGUACGACUUUUAGGUCUGCGAACUUAGCUGGAGCUAGAAAUAGCCUUUGUUCAUAAAUCCCCCGUGGAAAUGCCAGUUCAAUUAAACCCUUAGGAUGUCGGGUAGUAUUAUAUAGUCCCUAUUCCUAAAACCAUGAGAUAUUGGUCAUUCAAAGAUAUUUCAGAAAUCCUGUCCAAGAUGUUACAUUAUAUGGAAGUAAUGGCAGUUUUAAUUUUAUAUUAAUUUAGUUUUAAUUUUUAUUAGUUUUAAGUACCUGUGGAUGAAGUAUUGUACCAGUAAACACUUUUUAAGAAAUAUUCACACAUGUAUUUUAUACUUUUGUCCGCCCCAUGAAUUUACAAUAAUAAUCGUUCCAAGUAUUUGUAUUCGUGUC
Molecule: RNA transcript, 1589 nt
Organism: Rhododendron vialii
Lineage: Eukaryota; Viridiplantae; Streptophyta; Magnoliopsida; Ericales; Ericaceae
Gene name: protein TIC 20-I, chloroplastic-like
Exons: 4
Source: RefSeq, a predicted model, not a curated record